Molecule: ribosomal RNA, 563 nt
Filed under: uncultured archaeon
Lineage: Archaea
Description: bacterial SSU rRNA
Rfam family: Archaeal small subunit ribosomal RNA
Source: RNAcentral
CGCGAAUUCGCCCUUCGCACCAGGCGCGAAAACUUUACAAUGCGGGAAACCGUGAUAAGGGGACACCGAGUGCCAGCAUCAUAUGCUGGCUGUCCAGGUGUGUAAACUACACCUGUUAGCAAGGGCCGGGCAAGACCGGUGCCAGCCGCCGCGGUAACACCGGCGGCCCGAGUGGUGAUCGUGAUUAUUGGGUCUAAAGGGUCCGUAGCCGGUUUGGUCAGUCCUCCGGGAAAUCUGACGGCUCAACCGUUAGGCUUUCGGGGGAUACUGCCAGGCUUGGAACCGGGAGAGGUAAGAGGUACUACAGGGGUAGGAGUGAAAUCUUGUAAUCCCUGUGGGACCACCUGUGGCGAAGGCGUCUUACCAGAACGGGUUCGACGGUGAGGGACGAAAGCUGGGGGCACGAACCGGAUUAGAUACCCGGGUAGUCCCAGCCGUAAACGAUGCUCGCUAGGUGUCAGGCAUGGCGCGACCGUGUCUGGUGCCGCAGGGAAGCCGUGAAGCGAGCCACCUGGGAAGUACGGCCGCAAGGCUGAAACUUAAAGGAAUUGGCGGGGGAGCAC